AUUGAACGCUGGCGGCAUGCCUUACACAUGCAAGUCGAACGGCAGCACGGGAGCAAUCCUGGUGGCGAGUGGCGAACGGGUGAGUAAUAUAUCGGAACGUGCUCAGUCGUGGGGGAUAACGUAGCGAAAGCUACGCUAAUACCGCAUACGAUCUAUGGAUGAAAGCGGGGGAUCGCAAGACCUCGCGCGAUUGGAGCGGCCGAUAUCAGAUUAGGUAGUUGGUGAGGUAAAGGCUCACCAAGCCGACGAUCUGUAGCUGGUCUGAGAGGACGACCAGCCACACUGGGACUGAGACACGGCCCAGACUCCUACGGGAGGCAGCAGUGGGGAAUUUUGGACGAUGGGCGCAAGCCUGAUCCAGCAAUGCCGCGUGCAGGAUGAAGGCCUGGUGUAACUGCCUUGUACGGUAACGAAACGGUAGA
Molecule: ribosomal RNA, 422 nt
Filed under: uncultured bacterium
Lineage: Bacteria
Description: bacterial SSU rRNA
Rfam family: Bacterial small subunit ribosomal RNA
Source: RNAcentral